RNAcentral lists this ribosomal RNA (1695 nucleotides) under human gut metagenome. RNAcentral describes it as "bacterial LSU rRNA". It matches the Rfam family "Bacterial large subunit ribosomal RNA", at positions 186 to 1980 of the family's 2925-position model. The record is from RNAcentral.
GCCUGAACUGAAACAUCUAAGUAGGGCGAGGAAGAGAAAUCAACCGAGAUUCCGCAAGUAGUGGCGAGCGAACGCGGAAGAGGCCAAACCGGCUGUAGAAAUAUGGCCGGGGUAAGGACAGCAAAAUGUAUGUUGGACCCUAGCAGAAGGGCAUGGGACGGCCCACCACAGAGAGUGAUAGUCUCGUAUGCGAAAGGGAAAAACAGCAGGCUGUAUCCAGAGUACCACUGGACACGUGAAACCCGGUGGGAAUAUGGGGGGACCACCCUCCAAGCCUAAAUACUCCCUGGUGACCGAUAGUGAAGAGUACUGUGAAGGAAAGGUGAAAAGAACCCCGGGAGGGGAGUGAAAAGAACCUGAAACCUUGUGCUUACAAGCACACAGAGCACGUCAAGGUGUGAUGUGGUACCUUUUGUAGAAUGGUCCGGCGAGUGAAUGUAACGAGCAAGGUUAAGCACUUUAGGUGUGGAGCCGAAGCGAAAGCAAGUCUGAAAAGGGCGAGAAGUUCGUUGUAUUCGACCCGAAACCGGGUGACCUAGCCAUGUCCAGGCUGAAGUGAAGGUAAAACUUCAUGGAGGGCCGAACCCACUCCCGUUGAAAUGGUAGGGGAUGAGGUGUGGCUAGCGGAGAAAUUCCAAUCGAACCCGGAGAUAGCUGGUUCUCUCCGAAAUAGCUUUAGGGCUAGCCUCGUAUUAGAUUACCGGAGGUAAAGCACUGAAUGGCCUAGGGCCCGAGAGGGUACCGAAGCCUAUCAAACUCAGAAUGCCGGAUAAUUGAUGUACGGGAGUCAGACAGUGUGAGAUAAGUUUCAUUGUCAAAAGGGAAACAGCCCAGACCCACAGCUAAGGUCCCAAAUGUAUGCUAAGUGGAAAACGAUGUGGAGUUGCGAAAACAACCAGGAUGUUGGCUUAGAAGCAGCCACUCAUUAAAAGAGUGCGUAAUAGCUCACUGGUCGAGUGACCCUGCGCGGAAAAUAUAACGGGGCUAAGCGUCCAACCGAAGCUUGGGAUGUCUAAGGACAUGGUAGGGGAGCGUCGUGUAUAGGGAGAAGCAUGAGCGAGAGCACAUGUGGACAGUACACGAGUGAGAAUGCCGGAAUGAGUAGCGAGAAUUAUGUGGGAAUCAUAAUGGCCGAAAAUCUAAGGUUUCUUGGGGAAGGUUCGUCCGCCCAAGGUAAGCCGGGAGCUAAGGCGAGGCCGCAAGGCGUAGUCGAUGCACAUACGGUAGAAAUUCCGUAGCCACCGAACCUUAAACCGGAAGGACACUUUCAGAUAGCAGAACCCAGCCGUUGGUAGAGCUGGGCGAAAGGGACUGAAAUAUAGUAGGGAAGUCUGCGAUGCUGAGAGGCGAGAAAAGCUCCGGUGUAUGCUAAGGUGCCCGUACCGCAAACCGACACAGGUAGAUGAGGAGAGAAUCCUAAGGCCAACGGGAGAAGGGUUGUUAAGGAACUCGGCAAAUUGACCCCGUAACUUCGGGAGAAGGGGUGCUCUAGCAAUAGAGCCGCAGAGAAUCGGCCCAAGCAACUGUUUACCAAAAACACAGGUUUGUGCUAAAUCGAAAGAUGACGUAUACGAGCUGACGCCUGCCCGGUGCUGGAAGGUUAAGAGGAGAUGUGCAAGCAUUGAAUCGAAGCCCCAGUGAACGGCGGCCGUAACUAUAACGGUCCUAAGGUAGCGAAAUUCCUUGUCAGGUAAG